Molecule: ribosomal RNA, 250 nt
Filed under: uncultured bacterium
Lineage: Bacteria
Description: partial 16S ribosomal RNA
Rfam family: Bacterial small subunit ribosomal RNA
Source: RNAcentral
UACGUAGGUGGCGAGCGUUGUCCGGAAUUAUUGGGCGUAAAGGGUGCGUAGGCGGCACAUUAAGUCAGAUGUGAAAAUCCGGGGCUCAACUCCGGACGUGCAUUUGAAACUAAUGAGCUAGAGUGCAGGAGAGGGAAGCGGAAUUCCUAGUGUAGCGGUGAAAUGCGUAGAUAUUAGGAAGAACACCAGUGGCGAAGGCGGCUUCCUGGACUGUAACUGACGCUGAGGCACGAAAGCGUGGGGAGCAAAC